CACCGCGGUUAAACGAGGGGCCCAAGUUGAUAACACCACGGCGUAAAGGGUGGUUAAGGAAAAUAACACAAUAAAGCCAAAUGGCCCUUUGGCCGUCAUACGUUUCUAGGUGUCCGAAGCCCAAUUAUACGAAAGUAGCUUUAAUAUGCCCACCUGACCCCACGAAAACUGAGAAA
This 176-nucleotide ribosomal RNA is filed under the name Candidia pingtungensis. Its description in RNAcentral is "partial 12S rRNA". Lineage: Eukaryota; Metazoa; Chordata; Actinopteri; Cypriniformes; Xenocyprididae. The record is from RNAcentral.